AUUGAACGCUGGCGGCAUGCCUUACACAUGCAAGUCGAACGGCAGCACGGGGGCAACCCUGGUGGCGAGUGGCGAACGGGUGAGUAAUGCAUCGGAACGUGCCCCGUAGCGGGGGAUAACCAGUCGAAAGACUGGCUAAUACCGCAUACGCUCCACGGAGGAAAGCAGGGGAUCGCAAGACCUUGCACUAUGGGAGCGGCCGAUGCCCGAUUAGCUAGUUGGUGAGGUAAAGGCUCACCAAGGCGACGAUCGGUAGCUGGUUUGAGAGAACGACCAGCCACACUGGGACUGAGACACGGCCCAGACUCCUACGGGAGGCAGCAGUGGGGAAUUUUGGACAAUGGGCGCAAGCCUGA
RNAcentral lists this ribosomal RNA (356 nucleotides) under uncultured bacterium. RNAcentral describes it as "bacterial SSU rRNA". It matches the Rfam family "Bacterial small subunit ribosomal RNA", at positions 29 to 386 of the family's 1533-position model. The record is from RNAcentral.